This 254-nucleotide ribosomal RNA is filed under the name uncultured bacterium. RNAcentral's name for it is "partial 16S ribosomal RNA". It matches the Rfam family "Bacterial small subunit ribosomal RNA", at positions 524 to 777 of the family's 1533-position model. The record is from RNAcentral.
UACGAAGGGGGCUAGCGUUGCUCGGAAUCACUGGGCGUAAAGCGCACGUAGGCGGAUCUUUAAGUCAGGGGUGAAAUCCUGGAGCUCAACUCCAGAACUGCCUUUGAUACUGAGGAUCUUGAGUCCGGGAGAGGUGAGUGGAACUCCGAGUGUAGAGGUGAAAUUCGUAGAUAUUCGGAAGAACACCAGCGGCGAAGGCGGCUCACUGGCCCGGUACUGACGCUGAGGUGCGAAAGCGUGGGGAGCAAACAGGG